Molecule: transfer RNA, 82 nt
Filed under: Canis lupus familiaris (dog)
Lineage: Eukaryota; Metazoa; Chordata; Mammalia; Carnivora; Canidae
Also listed under: 1 other name
Rfam family: tRNA
About the family: Transfer RNA (tRNA) molecules are approximately 80 nucleotides in length.
Source: Rfam by way of RNAcentral
GCCUGGGUGGCUCAGUGGUUGAGUGUCUGCCUUGGGCUCAGGGUGUGAUACCGGGGUCUGGGAUCGAGUCCCAGGUCAGGCU